GUGCCUGUAGCUCAGCAGCAAGGGUGCCAGUCUCAUACACCGGAGCUGGUGGGUUCGAAUCCAGCCCAACUACA
This 74-nucleotide transfer RNA is filed under the name Otolemur garnettii (small-eared galago). It matches the Rfam family "tRNA". Rfam says of the family: Transfer RNA (tRNA) molecules are approximately 80 nucleotides in length. Their secondary structure includes four short double-helical elements and three loops (D, anti-codon, and T loops). Further hydrogen bonds mediate the characteristic L-shaped molecular structure. tRNAs have two regions of fundamental functional importance: the anti-codon, which is responsible for specific mRNA codon recognition, and the 3' end, to which the tRNAs corresponding amino acid is attached (by aminoacyl-tRNA synthetases). tRNAs cope with the degeneracy of the genetic code in two manners: having more than one tRNA (with a specific anti-codon) for a particular amino acid; and 'wobble' base-pairing, i.e. permitting non-standard base-pairing at the 3rd anti-codon position. Lineage: Eukaryota; Metazoa; Chordata; Mammalia; Primates; Galagidae. The record is from Rfam by way of RNAcentral.